AUGUCUGGUCCUCCAGCACCACUGCCGACCCAUCUUGCCUCCGUCAGCUCUCACCGGUUGCAGUUCCGCUACUGGUGGGAAUUGAUCUGGUGCCCAUGGCGGUGGUGUUUAUAUGUACAUGCAUCUUUCUUCCAAAUCCUAUAUUCAGUUAUUUUCUUUUCAAGAAAAAAAUAUUCAGUUCUGCUUUUAUACCUCUGGCAAUCUUUCAAUGUCAAGCGGCUGGGACGACGACAGGUCACAUGGCUGGUAAGCUAUUUUUCUUGGCUAUUGCUUCGAUAUGAGAUUCGUCCCCUCCUUGGCUAUGUUAUGCAGUGA
This 315-nucleotide ribosomal RNA is filed under the name Triticum aestivum (bread wheat). Its description in RNAcentral is "partial small subunit ribosomal RNA". Lineage: Eukaryota; Viridiplantae; Streptophyta; Magnoliopsida; Poales; Poaceae. The record is from RNAcentral.